RNAcentral lists this ribosomal RNA (264 nucleotides) under uncultured bacterium. RNAcentral describes it as "partial 16S ribosomal RNA". It matches the Rfam family "Bacterial small subunit ribosomal RNA", at positions 90 to 354 of the family's 1533-position model. The record is from RNAcentral.
UCUUAGUGGCGGACGGGUGAGUAACGCGUGGGUAACCUGCCUUAUACAGGGGGAUAACACUUAGAAAUAGGUGCUAAUACCGCAUAAGCGCACGGGGCUGCAUGGCCCAGCGUGAAAAACUCCGGUGGUAUAAGAUGGACCCGCGUCUGAUUAGCUUGUUGGCGGGGUAACGGCCCACCAAGGCGACGAUCAGUAGCCGGCCUGAGAGGGUGGACGGCCACAUUGGGACUGAGACACGGCCCAAACUCCUACGGAAGGCAGCAG